GAUGAACGCUGGCGGCGUGCCUAAUACAUGCGAGUCGAGCGAACAGACGAGGAGCUUGCUCCUCUGACGUUAGCGGCGGACGGGUGAGUAACACGUGGAUAACCUACCUAUAAGACUGGGAUAACUUCGGGAAACCGGAGCUAAUACCGGAUAAUAUAUUGAACCGCAUGGUUCAAUAGUGAAAGACGGUUUUGCUGUCACUUAUAGAUGGAUCCGCGCCGCAUUAGCUAGUUGGUAAGGUAACGGCUUACCAAGGCGACGAUGCGUAGCCGACCUGAGAGGGUGAUCGGCCACACUGGAACUGAGACACGGUCCAGACUCCUACGGGAGGCAGCAGUAGGGAAUCUUCCGCAAUGGGCGAAAGCCUGACGGAGCAACGCCGCGUGAGUGAUGAAGGUCUUCGGAUCGUAAAACUCUGUUAUUAGGGAAGAACAAAUGUGUAAGUAACUAUGCACGUCUUGACGGUACCUAAUCAGAAAGCCACGGCUAACUACGAG
RNAcentral lists this ribosomal RNA (497 nucleotides) under uncultured bacterium. RNAcentral describes it as "partial 16S ribosomal RNA". It matches the Rfam family "Bacterial small subunit ribosomal RNA", at positions 28 to 507 of the family's 1533-position model. The record is from RNAcentral.